AAGUAAAGAAGUAAAACUACAUUUAAUUUCGACUUAAAAUAAGGGAAUACCCCCAUACUUA
This 61-nucleotide transfer RNA is filed under the name Plectoderini sp. SX-2018. RNAcentral describes it as "tRNA-Arg". The record is from RNAcentral. Lineage: Eukaryota; Metazoa; Arthropoda; Insecta; Hemiptera; Achilidae.